This 882-nucleotide ribosomal RNA is filed under the name Triticum aestivum (bread wheat). RNAcentral's name for it is "partial small subunit ribosomal RNA". Lineage: Eukaryota; Viridiplantae; Streptophyta; Magnoliopsida; Poales; Poaceae. The record is from RNAcentral.
AUGUUCGAGAAAUUUGGUGAAGAGCUGUAUAAAUGUGGCGCACAUGUGUUGGAUGAGAUUGUACCGAGAAAGAUUUACAAAUCAACACAUGUAGAUGCGGCGGCAAGAGAAAAAUGGAGUAAGGUAGAGUUCAAGAUUGAAGUGAAUGAUGACGAGAGUUUUUUUAGUUGCGAAUGUGGCACAUUUGAACACUCUGGCUUGGUGUGUUGCCAUGCAUUGCAGGUUAUGGUGUUGGUCCGUCUGUCGAAGAUACCCGAGAAACAUAUAAUGAAACGACGGACAAGAGAUGCACGAGAUGUUCUUCCUGCACAUUUGGUACGGUACCAAAGAGACAGAGGCCCUCCUUCUAGUGACACAUUCAGGCAUCACACAAUGUACAUGAAGGCGCUUGAAUGUGUGUUGCUUGGUGAUAGUAAUGUUAAGUGCUAUGAUGUUUUCAUGGCUAUGAUGAAGGAGGUGCAAGCCGCUCUGGUGCCGUUAAGCAGUGAUAAGGAUGGCAUGGGACUAGCCGAAAGGGAACAACAAAAUCAGUUGCUUGUUCAGAACCAGCAAGAGGCACUCGAGUUGCAAGGCUGUGCGACAAGGUCUGAGUGUGAUGGUGAAUCAAGUUGUUCAGUGAUUGUAGGACAGCAGAACAAACGGCCGAGGGGUAGACCUACAGCAAGCCGUGACAAAGCUCCGUAUGAAGAACAUUUGAAGAGAUCGCGGUUCUGCACGAUCUGCAGGGGUCAGGGCCACAAAUGCACAACUUGCCCAGAGAGAGGCGAUCUGCCCAAGGCGCCAAGGAAAUUGCCAAAGUGUUCAAAUUGUGGUGUGCUUGGACACAGGCGCAAUGCUUGUGGCACCAAGAAAUCUGGACCGUUCGAGCCCAAUUUUCUGUAA